Mycena leptocephala is the source of this 94-nucleotide non-coding RNA. The record is from the annotation of a GenBank genome assembly. Lineage: Eukaryota; Fungi; Basidiomycota; Agaricomycetes; Agaricales; Mycenaceae.
GGCCCAAUAGCACAGCGAUUAGUGCGCCUGCUGAAUCAGUUGAUCGGUCAGUUCCGUUGACGAGGAGACCCUCGUUCGAAUCGAGGUUGGGCCA